RNAcentral lists this ribosomal RNA (446 nucleotides) under uncultured bacterium. RNAcentral describes it as "partial 16S ribosomal RNA". It matches the Rfam family "Bacterial small subunit ribosomal RNA", at positions 330 to 793 of the family's 1533-position model. The record is from RNAcentral.
ACCAGACUCCUACGGGAGGCAGCAGUGGGGGAUAUUGCACAAUGGGGGAAACCCUGAUGCAGCGACGCCGCGUGGGUGAAGGAGCACCUCGGUGCGUAAAGCCCUAUCGGCAGGGAAGAAACAGACGGUACCUGACUAAGAAGCCCCGGCUAACUACGUGCCAGCAGCCGCGGUAAUACGUAGGGGGCAAGCGUUAUCCGGAUUCACUGGGUGUAAAGGGAGCGUAGACGGCCAAGCAAGCCAGGGGUGAAAGCCCGGGGCCCAACCCCGGGACUGCCCUUGGAACUGCUUGGCUGGAGUGCGGGAGGGGCAGGCGGAAUUCCUGGUGUAGCGGUGAAAUGCGUAGAUAUCAGGAGGAACACCGGCGGCGAAGGCGGCCUGCUGGACCGCGACUGACGUUGAGGCUCGAGAGCGUGGGGAGCAAACAGGAUUAGAUACCCUUGUAU